AUAGCCUCAGUAACGGCGAGUGAAGCGGCUACAGCUCAAAUUUGAAAUCUGGCCUCCUUUGGGGGUCCGAGUUGUAAUUUGCAGAGGAUGCUUUGGCAUUGGCGGCGGUCUAAGUUCCUUGGAACAGGACAUCGCAGAGGGUGAGAAUCCCGUACGUGGGCGCCUGCCUUUGCCGUGUAAAGCUCCUUCGACGAGUCGAGUUGUUUGGGAAUGCAGCUCUAAAUGGGAGGUAAAUUUCUCCUAAAGCUAAAUACCGGCCAGAGACCGAUAGCGCACAAGUAGAGUGAUCGAAAGAUGAAAAGUACUUUGGAAAGAGAGUCAAAUAGCACGUGAAAUUGUUGAAAGGGAAGCGCUUGCAGCCAGACUUGCCCGCAGUUGCUCACCUAGGCUUUCGCCUGGGGCACUCUUCUGCGGGCAGGCCAGCAUCAGUUUGGGCGGUCGGAUAAAGGCCUCUGUCAUGUACCACCCCUCGGGGUGGCCUUAUAGGGGAGGCGUAAUGCGACCAGCCCGGACUGAGGUCCGCGCAUCUGCUAGGAUGCUGGCGUAAUGGCUGUAAGCGGCCCGUCUUGAAACACGGACCAAGGAGUCUAACAUCUAUGCGAGUGUUUGGGUGUCAAGCCCGGGCGCGCAAUGAAAGUGAACGGAGGUGGGAACCCUUCGGGGUGCACCAUCGACCGAUCCUGAAGUCUUCGGAUGGAUUUGAGUAAGAGCAUAGCUGUUGGGACCCGAAAGAUGGUGAACUAUGCUUGAAUAGGGUGAAGCCAGAGGAAACUCUGGUGGAGGCUCGCAGCGGUUCUGACGUGCAAAUCGAUCGUCAAAUUUGGGCAUAGGGGCGAAAGACUAAUCGAACCAU
RNAcentral lists this ribosomal RNA (853 nucleotides) under Pseudopithomyces chartarum. Its description in RNAcentral is "partial large subunit ribosomal RNA". It matches the Rfam family "Eukaryotic large subunit ribosomal RNA", at positions 74 to 943 of the family's 3401-position model. The record is from RNAcentral. RNAcentral also lists the same sequence under 2 other names. Lineage: Eukaryota; Fungi; Ascomycota; Dothideomycetes; Pleosporales; Didymosphaeriaceae.